RNAcentral lists this ribosomal RNA (506 nucleotides) under uncultured bacterium. RNAcentral describes it as "partial 16S ribosomal RNA". It matches the Rfam family "Bacterial small subunit ribosomal RNA", at positions 29 to 523 of the family's 1533-position model. The record is from RNAcentral.
AGUGAACGCUGGCGGUAGGCCUAACACAUGCAAGUCGAACGGCAGCACAGGAGAGCUUGCUCUCUGGGUGGCGAGUGGCGGACGGGUGAGGAAUACAUCGGAAUCUACUCUGUCGUGGGGGAUAACGUAGGGAAACUUACGCUAAUACCGCAUACGACCUACGGGUGAAAGCAGGGGACCUUCGGGCCUUGCGCGAGUAAAUGAGCCGAUGUCGGAUUAGCAAGUUGGCGGGGUAAAGGCCCACCAAGGCGACGAUCCGUAGCUGGUCUGAGAGGAUGAUGAGCCACAAUGGACAUGAGACACGGUCCAGCAUCCUACGGGAGGCAGCAGUGGGGAAUAUUGGACAAUGGGCGCAAGCCUGAUCCAGCCAUACCGCGUGGGUGAAGAAGGCCUUCGGGUUGUAAAGCCCUUUUGUUGGGAAAGAAAUCCAGCUGGCUAAUACCCGGUUGGGAUGACGGUACCCAAAGAAUAAGCACCGGCUAACUUCGUGCCAGCCGCCGCGGUAA